GCCGCAGACAAACAUGUGGCCCCGCUCGAGGCACAGCACGCGGUGCACCUCAGCAGCCAGCUCCGUCCUCAGGAUGUCCUGCACGUUUUCCACCGAGAGGACCGUAGCCUGGAACAUCUUCCGCCUGUGCACGUGGAUCAGGCCUACGGGGCGGGGGGCAAAUGAGAUGGACUGAGCCAGGGACCGGGGCCUGGCCCCUGAUCAGGUCCACACACCAAGACUGGCCUCAUUCUUUGGAAUGAUUACAUAGUAUCCCAUCACUUGUGGGUACCAUCGUGUGCCCGACUCCCCUGACUGAGGACAUCUGGAUGGUCUCUGGACAGUGCUCAACCGCUCAUAUACACGUGUUUCCUCCUUUGCAUAUUUCACAGGGUAGCUCUUAGGAGCAGAAUUGCUGAGUCGUAAGAUUUAAAAGCUUGAUGGGACAGUCAAGCCGUCCAGCAUCGGGAGGACGAUUUCCUCUUUCCUCCCUCCUCUCGACACUGGCUGUGACCAGCCGCUAACGCUUUAGCCGAUGUGAUAGGGAGAAACCAGCUCUCGAUCUCCCUGCAUUGCCGUGAUCGCUAGUGACACUGACAUCGUCUAAAAGGCUGAGCCGUGUCACGUGCUGCCCGGGAAACAGCUUAGAACUACAUGCAACAACCUUUACACAGGAAAAAACAACACAUGGCAAGGCCAUGACAUCCCUGAGUUAACUGCAGGUGCAUUUAGGUGCUGGGUUUAUGGGUUCACUGUAACUAGCAUGUACUACCUUUAUUUUAUUUUCUGAACAUUUUCUUGAAGUGUAAUGUACCUACAGAAAAGCCACAUGUUAUAAACGCACAGUUGGUUUU
This is a long non-coding RNA of Phacochoerus africanus (Common warthog), 833 nucleotides long. RefSeq lists it as uncharacterized. The record is from RefSeq and is a predicted model, not a curated record. NCBI's taxonomy places the organism in Eukaryota, Metazoa, Chordata, Mammalia, Artiodactyla, Suidae. The transcript is spliced from 3 exons.